RNAcentral lists this ribosomal RNA (434 nucleotides) under uncultured bacterium. RNAcentral's name for it is "partial 16S ribosomal RNA". It matches the Rfam family "Bacterial small subunit ribosomal RNA", at positions 29 to 507 of the family's 1533-position model. The record is from RNAcentral.
AGCGAACGCUGGCGGCAGGCCUAACACAUGCAAGUCGAACGAACCUUUCGGGGUUAGUGGCGGACGGGUGAGUAACACGUGGGAACGUGCCUUUAGGUUCGGAAUAACUCAGGGAAACUUGUGCUAAUACCGAAUGUGCCCUUCGGGGGAAAGAUUUAUCGCCUUUAGAGCAGCCCGCGUCUGAUUAGCUAGUUGGUUGAGGUAAUGGCUCACCAAGGCGACGAUCAGUAGCUGGUCUGAGAGGAUGAUCAGCCACAUUGGGACUGAGACACGGCCCAAACUCCUACGGGAGGCAGCAGUGGGGAAUCUUGCGCAAUGGGCGAAAGCCUGACGCAGCCAUGCCGCGUGAAUGAUGAAGGUCUUAGGAUUGUAAAAUUCUUUCACCGGGGACGAUAAUGACGGUACCCGGAGAAGAAGCCCCGGCUAACUUCGUG